Molecule: RNA transcript, 866 nt
Organism: Fragaria vesca subsp. vesca
Lineage: Eukaryota; Viridiplantae; Streptophyta; Magnoliopsida; Rosales; Rosaceae
Exons: 3
Source: RefSeq, a predicted model, not a curated record
GUAUGAGAUUAGUCUCGACCACGGCAGAGACCACCGACAUGGGAAGGCAACGCCACGGCGGACCGGCCUCGAUAGAGUCCUCUUUCCUCCUCCGUCACGGCUAUGGUGGAGGCACGCUUAAGCGUCAACGGAGGAAGACGAAUCCACGACUCAAAGCGUCGAGUCCUCUGACGAACUUGCCGCGACUUCUGCCCCUAAUUGGGUUGAAUUGUGGUAUAAUUAGUUUUUGAAUUCGAUCGAUAUUGGACUGAGUUGUGUUUCUGGGUUGUACGGCGUAUCACCGUGUGGACGUCGAUGGCUGUUCUGGCUGUUCUUAGACCAUCUCCUCUCCUUUUGAAGAGUGCUGAUGUUUAUGGGAGUUGAAAUUCUGAAUUUGCUAGACUUAGGUGGAAGUGAGAACAUGGGAGGAAAAUUCCAGUAGCUGGGUUGUCGACAAUGGUGUUUUCUACUGGAAUUGAAUGAUGCCUUGAGCUCUACUUGAUAACAAGAAAUGCCUAGUGGGAACUGGCGCUGUAUGGUUUAGAGGAGAUGAGAGGACUAGCCGUCAAAAGUGAAGACACUGAUAGCUCUUUCUUGCAUCUUUGGUUCUAGGGGUUUGCCUGUGAAAAAUGAACAUCAAGUGCACGGGGCCUCCAAGUACAAGGUGUUAAGAAGCUUCACAUCACAGCCAUUGACAACUUCCAGUUGCACAGUAUGAGAGUGGAACCAAUUUUUAAUAUCCAUUUCUAUCGAGUUGUUUCAUUACUGUAUGGAAUCAGAAUCAUAAUAGAACUAAUUACGAUCAAUGUCGUUUACUUACCAUAUGAUUAUGGAGGCUUUGAUUCCUAAUUAAAUGGGUUAUUAAGGAAUGGGAUCGACUUCUGAUU